GGUUAAGCGAAUAAGCGUACACGGUGGAUGCCUAGGUAAUCAGAGGCGAUGAAGGACGUGCUAAUCUGCGAAAAGCGUCGGUAAGGUGAUAUGAACCGUUAUACCCGA
This 108-nucleotide ribosomal RNA is filed under the name Proteus mirabilis. RNAcentral describes it as "partial 23S ribosomal RNA". It matches the Rfam family "Bacterial large subunit ribosomal RNA", at positions 1 to 107 of the family's 2925-position model. Lineage: Bacteria; Pseudomonadati; Pseudomonadota; Gammaproteobacteria; Enterobacterales; Morganellaceae. The record is from RNAcentral.